UAGGGAAUUUUCCACAAUGGGGGCAACCCUGAUGGAGCAACGCCGCGUGCAGGAUGAAUGUCUUCGGAUUGUAAACUGCUUUUAUCUGUGACGAAUAUGACGGUAGCAGAUGAAUAAGCCUCGGCUAACUCCGUGCCAGCAGCCGCGGUCAUACGGAGGAGGCAAGCGUUAUCCGGAAUUACUGGGCGUAAAGAGUUGCGUAGGUGGCAUUGUAUGUCGGUAGUGAAAGAGUGUGGCUCAACCAUAUAAACAUUAUCGAAACUGCAAGGCUAGAGGACGAGAGAGGUUAUUGGAAUUCCCAGUGUAGGAGUGAAAUCCGUAGAUAUUGGGAGGAACACCGAUGGCGUAGGCAGAUAACUGGCUCGUUCCUGACACUAAGGCACGAAAGCGUGGGUAGCAAACGGGAUUAGAUACCCCCGUAGUCC
Molecule: ribosomal RNA, 425 nt
Filed under: uncultured bacterium
Lineage: Bacteria
Description: bacterial SSU rRNA
Rfam family: Bacterial small subunit ribosomal RNA
Source: RNAcentral